UAAAAAAAUUAAAAAAAAAAAAUAAAAUAAAUAAAUUAAAAAAAUGUAAAUAAGGCCGGCAACCAUGUGCGCCUCACACACACACACACACACACACCUCAGAGCAGAGCAGUGACCUGGAAGGGGAGGGGGGAACCAAAGGCAGAGACCAUGGAGCAUCACCCAAAGCCCUUUUAUAGGGGCACAAAUACAAUCCCAGCACAUUAGGAAGCGGCAGUAUUAAACUACUAACAACAACAACAAUAAUAAUAAUAAUAAUAAUAAUGAUAAUAAUAAUAAUAUGCCACAAGUGUGUCUGAUAAGUGUUUAUUUUGCGAGGGAACGUAUUUUUAAACCGCCACCCUAAGAAAGUCAGCAUGGUAAAUGUUAUGGUAAAAAAAACCCGUGCUCUGGAAACGGGGCGUGGCUUGUAUGCUUCGAAUUCAAACGAGCGAAUCAGAGUGUCUUUCCCCCAUCCGGGAUAUUUUCAUUGGCUGACACGCCCCUACGUCACAUCAAACCCUGUAAACGAUUGGCUGACACGCCCCUGCGUGAAGGCUCGCCGUUUAAACCAGCAGGUCCUUCAGCUUCUCCAGCCGCUGCAGACUCACCCCACGGCCUCCACGUGUUUCUGUGGAUUCGGGAACAGGCAGGAUCAGAUCUUUUCAUUUGAUCAGCUCCUGCCUGAUCUGGAGAUCACACUCACUGACCGAUCAUGGGCAAAAUAUCCAUAAGGUCUGACCACAAAGGGCGAUCAGACUCAGCUCAGAGAGGAAAUGAUGGACGUGAAGCAGCGCGAGUUUUAACACAGCGCUUUCCUUCCACUCUGAGAGCGAACCUUUCAGCUGUUGAUGGAGGUCUUGUUACUGCUCCAGCAUUCUCUCACAAUACAGUAUCAGGGGAUGUAAACAUCGUCCUUAACAAAAUAGAUGUUGCGGUCACCCCGACAACUCAUCCUGUCAUCAAUAAGAACAACCGUUUAGCUCAGGAGGCUUUAGAUGACGACGACACCUCCUCAAAAACGAUUCUCAGGACUCCCAAAAAGAUCAAAAGAAAACCGCAGAUCAAUUUCCGGCGAAGGCGAGGCAAGGGUCUGCAUUCGGCCAGAGUCGGCUCCGCCCGAGGUAGAUUGACUUUUGAUGAUGUCGAAGUUCAGCCAGAUCGACUGGAUCCCCUGGAAGGCGAGAAUGAGGAGAACAAAGAGUGCGUUCAUCCACCAGGAGGACGCAUUCUGACCAGCCUUGUCGGAGAGAUCACAGGGACUCGAGUGACCGCUGACUACCUCUGUUGUGAAUGCGACUCUGCAGUUCGCCACUUUAGAGCCAAAGCCUUCAGUGUCAAGUGCACAAACUGCAGGCACAGCUGGAAGUGCGCCAAACUGCCGUGCACAUGCACGGCUGAAAUAACCAUCGAACUGUCUGACCGCACAAAGUGGACAGUGGUCCUGAGCGACUCACUGCUGCGCUCGAUUGUCAGCUUUGAAAGAGAGGGAUACUGUAACACGGACAAAAUCGAGAAAAAGGUUCUGAAGUUGGGCAACGUCAGAGUGGACUUCAUGGACGGGCAUCCUAAGAGGGUGGAAAGGAUUGCAGCAGACCAUGUUUAGAGUGCCUCUUGUACGACGCCGUUUUAGGGCCAAUGUUAAUAAAAAUAAAAAUAGUAGACUUUGAGAAUAAAGACGUAAGAUUUUGAGAAUAAAGCAUACCGAGAAAGGUUGUAAUAUUGUGGCCGAAGGCGCCUCCUGGUGUUAAAUGAGGGGCGUUGAGUUGGUGGAGCUGCCCUUUCAUUUCGAUUCCCCCAUAAAGAAACACUCAGCCUCCCCGUCUCUCCUGCUCAUCAGCACCAGCCUGGUAUCAGUGUAAGAAACGGCUGAAACGGCUGAGCAGGGAACUGUUUAUCUAGAAUAAAGAGCCGGACGGACUCGGAGGAAACCGUCUGUCUGUGUUGUUGAAGGAGAAACUCAGGCAGGGUGGUCUACACAGCUAUCGGGGGCUUCAUCUCCCCCAUUCAAAGAGGGCAUGAAGUUUCACAGGCAGUGAGGAUGAAGAUCAAAAUGAUCCUCAGAGAGACAGGAGUGAGUGGAGCUCCGGCGCCAGUGCAGCAACCGAGACCCCACGGCAGUGUAGCAGCCCCCCUACAGUUAGUCCCCUCUACAGUUAGACCACUUCAUCCUCCAAAUGUUAUGACUUUAUUCUCAAAGUCUACUAUUUUUAUUUUUAUUAACAGUGGCCCUAAAACACCGUCGUACUCAUAUUGACUUGCUGAAUCUUUUGAAGUACACUUGGUUCCAUUGGUUAAAAAAUUUUAUUUCCAUUGAUGAUGUGUGUGAUUUUGUUGUCAGCACAUUCCACUUUGUGCAGAACAAAGUAUUCUGUGAGAAUAUUUCAUUCAUUCAGAUCUAGGAUGUGUUAUUUGAGUGUUCCCUUUAUUUUUUUGAGCAGUGUAUUCCUACCAGGAAUGUAUGGGUACUCUUUUGGUCCAACAGAGCCAAAGAAAUCUACAUUCUGUUCCCCAGGAGUUUUCUGAAGACCAAAGCCUAAAAACCCUACAAGCUUAGAGCUUUGCUAAAGGUUCUUCUUCAGAACCGUAUUGGAAGAAACAAAACAGUAGGUUUGUGGAAUCUAAGUCUGAUGCCUCUUGUCUGACUCCAGGUUACCUCACCAUCAAACAAAUUGACACACAACUUAGUUUUAAAUCGACAAGCCACAUUGAUACGUUUUUUACCAGGUAUGUUCACUUCGAAUGGUUUGUGGUUGAGUAUUUGAACAGAAACCUUCCUGAUUACUUGAAUCAAAAAGGCUCGUUGAAAUACGAGGACAACGAAAUCCAUCCCGUCUUCUCUGAACCCGAUAGAAGGGCUACUGUGACACAAGUAGAAGAUAUUUACCGUCUACCUAUACAUCUUGGCGGACAAGAUACACCCCCUCAUGGUAAAGAUAUUUCCUGAGGGCAGUGGCUGGAUAAUGCGCCCUGCCACACUGAACACAGUGAGGGUGUUUACAUGCACUCAGGAGUCCGAUCAUGAUCAGAUUUCUGCAGUUAUCUGAUUAUUCAAAUGGUCAUGUAAACAGCACUCUCUGAUUUCUUACAUCAGGGUAAGGUCUAGAAACCUGAUUUAAAAAUCUGAGGCUGGAUUUCAGCUCAGUAAUCAGAUUCAACAGCGCUGUGAACUCUUACUCUGAUUUCUUUCGGCUUUCUAAAUCUGCAAGUGCGAAAACAGACCACGGCACCGAAACUGCAAGAUGCAGCAAAACACUUUGAAAACAUUCUUCAUCUUCUAGACGCUGUUUGUUCAUAUUUUCAGAUCAUUUUCAGAUGUACAGUCAUUAUUGCACUGCAUCUUUCAUCUCAGGUUAUAGAUCUUAUUACAGAUAGUGGUAUUUUUCUAUUUGUAUAUCUGCCGACAGAGAAGACGUGGUAUAUUUAUUCUUCCUGUUAUAUUGUUUACACCCUUAUUACUAUUACUUUAUCUGUCUGUCUGUCCGUCUAUCUAUCUAUCUAUCUAUGUAUAUCUAUCUAUCUAUAUGGGUAAUACCACUGACAUGGGGGGGCUGUAUCUAUAAGAGUUAUUUAACCUAAACUGCCCAAAAGGGAUAUAAACCCCCCCCCAUUUCUGUGCCCUGAGUUUGAUGUUUAUGGCAUUUGGCUGACGCUCUUGUCCAGAGCGACUUACAAUUUGAUCAUUUUACACAGGGAGGUGAAGUUAGGAGUCUUUCCCAAGGACUCUUAUUGGUAUAGUGUAGGGUGUUUGCCCAGGUGAGUAUUGAACCCCAGUCUACAGUGUAGAAAGCAGAGGUCUUACCCACUACACUAACCAACCACACUGAGUUGGAUAAACUCUCAUCAUUAGCUGUUCUUUUGGGGAGAGAAACUCUGGGGAGGUCAGCUAGUGCUGUUUAAUGAGGGCUUCGGUGUAAAUAAGUGCAUAUUUUCAUGUUGUAAGACGUUUAAAACGCUGAUAAGGGACUUAAAGGGUUAUUGAAACAGCCGGAGUGUAAAUGUAUGAGAGAUUCCUG
Molecule: long non-coding RNA, 3995 nt
Organism: Pygocentrus nattereri (red-bellied piranha)
Lineage: Eukaryota; Metazoa; Chordata; Actinopteri; Characiformes; Serrasalmidae
Source: Ensembl